AUUGAACGCUGGCGGCAGGCCUAACACAUGCAAGUCGAACGAGUGGCGGACGGGUGAGUAAUGUCUGUGAAACUGCCCGAUGGGGGGGGAUAACUACUGGAAACGGUAGCUAAUACCGCAUACCAUCGGAUGUGCCCAGAUGGGAUUAGCUUGUUGGUGGGGUAAAGGCUCACCUAGGCGACGAUCCCUAGCUGGGCUGAGAGGAUGACCAGCCACACUGGAACGGGGACACGGUCCAGACUCCUACGGGAGGCAGCAGUGGGGAAUAUUGCACAAGGGGCGCAAGCCUGAUGCAGCCAUGCCGCGUGUAUGAAGAAGGCCUGCGGGUUGUAAAGUACUUUCAGCGGGGAGGCGUUACCCGCAGAAGAAGCACCGGCUAACUCCGUGCCAGCAGCCGCGGUAAUUC
This 406-nucleotide ribosomal RNA is filed under the name uncultured bacterium. RNAcentral describes it as "partial 16S ribosomal RNA". It matches the Rfam family "Bacterial small subunit ribosomal RNA", at positions 30 to 526 of the family's 1533-position model. The record is from RNAcentral.